Molecule: ribosomal RNA, 395 nt
Filed under: uncultured bacterium
Lineage: Bacteria
Description: bacterial SSU rRNA
Rfam family: Bacterial small subunit ribosomal RNA
Source: RNAcentral
UAAGACAGAGGUGGCGAGCGUUGUUCGGAAUUACUGGGCUUAAAGGGCGCGUAGGCGGUGGAGUAAGUCUGAGGUGGAAUGCCACAGCCCAACUGUGGAACUGCCUUGGAAACUGCCUCACUUGAGUUAGACAGGGGAAGGCGGAAUUCCUGGUGUAGCGGUGAAAUGCGUAGAUAUCAGGAGGAAGGCCAGUGGUGAAGACGGCCUUCUGGGUCUUAACUGACGCUGAGGCGCGAAAGCGUGGGGAGCAAACAGGAUUAGAUACCCUGGUAGUCCACGCCCUAAACGGUGGGCACUAGGUGUGGGAUUCGUAAGGGUUCCGUGCCGAAGGGAAACCAUUAAGUGCCCCGCCUGGGGAGUACGGCCGCAAGGUUGAAACUUAAAUGAAUUGACGG